GUGAGUUUAAUUUACAUAUCAUUGUGCUUAUUUGUUUGUAUUAGUUAAUUGUCAGAUAUAUAAACUAAUUUAUUUCUUUAUUAUGAAUUUAACUCAAUUUUGAUCAAUUGUCUCAUCUAGAUGUAGAAUAAACACAAUUCCAUACUGACUACGCAAGUGCACGUUAAUAUUGCACAAUGGACGAUCCCCUGCAUUGACAUACACCUAGCUGGCUUGUGAUCAAUAAGGCAGAAAAUAUGUCAUUGUCCAACUCCCGAAAUUCAUUUUACUGUUUCAUGAUAAC
This 283-nucleotide long non-coding RNA is filed under the name Mytilus galloprovincialis (Mediterranean mussel). The record is from RNAcentral. Lineage: Eukaryota; Metazoa; Mollusca; Bivalvia; Mytilida; Mytilidae.